GACGAACGCUGGCGGCGUGCUUAACACAUGCAAGUCGAACGGAAAGGCCCUGCUGUUGUGGGGUGCUCGAGUGGCGAACGGGUGGGUAACACGUGAGUGACCUGCCCUUGGCUUGGGGAUAACUUCAGGAAACUGGGGCUAAUACCGGAUAGGAGCUCCGGCUGCAUGGUGGGGGGUGGAAAGUUUCGGCGGUUGGGGCUGGACUCGCGGCUUAUCAGCUUGUUGGUGGGGGAGUGGCUUACCAAGGCUUUGACGGGUAGCCGGCCUGAGAGGGUGACCGGCCACAAUGGGACUGCGAGACGGACCAGACUCCUACGGGAGGCAGCAGGGGGGAAUAUUGCACAAUGGGCGGAAGCCUGAUGCAGCAACGCCGCGUGCGGGAUGACCGCCUUCGGGGUGUAAACCGCUUUCGCCUGUGACGAAGCGUGAGUGACGGUAAUGGGUAAAGAAGCACCGGCUAACUACGUG
This 468-nucleotide ribosomal RNA is filed under the name uncultured bacterium. RNAcentral describes it as "partial 16S ribosomal RNA". It matches the Rfam family "Bacterial small subunit ribosomal RNA", at positions 28 to 507 of the family's 1533-position model. The record is from RNAcentral.